RNAcentral lists this ribosomal RNA (450 nucleotides) under uncultured bacterium. RNAcentral describes it as "partial 16S ribosomal RNA". It matches the Rfam family "Bacterial small subunit ribosomal RNA", at positions 354 to 796 of the family's 1533-position model. The record is from RNAcentral.
GUGGGGAAUCUUCCGCAAUGGACGAAAGUCUGACGGAGCAACGCCGCGUGAGUGAUGAAGGUCUUCGGAUUGUAAAGCUCUGUUAAUCGGGACGAAAGAGCCUAGUGUGAAUAAUGCUAGGAAGUGACGGUACCGGAAUAGAAAGCCACGGCUAACUACGUGCCAGCAGCCGCGGUAAUACGUAGGUGGCAAGCGUUGUCCGGAAUUAUUGGGCGUAAAGCGCGCGCAGGCGGAUCUGCCAGUCUGUCUUAAAAGUUCGGGGCUUAACCCCGUGAUGGGAUGGAAACUACAGAGCUAGAGUAUCGGAGAGGAAAGUGGAAUUCCUAGUGUAGCGGUGAAAUGCGUAGAUAUUAGGAAGAACACCAGUGGCGAAGGCGACUUUCUGGACGAAAACUGACGCUGAGGCGCGAAAGCCAGGGGAGCGAACGGGAUUAGAAACCCCAGUAGUCC